UACGUAGGGUGCGAGCGUUGUCCGGAAUUAUUGGGCGUAAAGGGCUCGUAGGCGGUCUGUCACGUCGGGAGUGAAAACCCGGGGCUCAACCCCGGGCCUGCAUUCGAUACGGGCAGACUAGAGUUCGGUAGGGGAGUCUGGAAUUCCUGGUGUAGCGGUAAAAUGCGCAGAUAUCAGGAGGAACACCGGUGGCGAAGGCGGGACUCUGGGCCGAUACUGACGCUGAGGAGCGAAAGCGUGGGGAGCAAACAGG
Molecule: ribosomal RNA, 253 nt
Filed under: uncultured bacterium
Lineage: Bacteria
Description: partial 16S ribosomal RNA
Rfam family: Bacterial small subunit ribosomal RNA
Source: RNAcentral